RNAcentral lists this long non-coding RNA (225 nucleotides) under Vigna radiata. RNAcentral's name for it is "long non-coding RNA (VRAD_LNC008048)". The record is from RNAcentral. Lineage: Eukaryota; Viridiplantae; Streptophyta; Magnoliopsida; Fabales; Fabaceae.
GUGGAGGGAGAGACAGAAAGAUAAAAAUAAUACUAAAAGAUCAUCCGAUAAUUAAAAAUUAAGGUGAAAAGUGGUGUUAAUAAUUUAUGAGAAAAAUGUUAUGUUGAAUUGAAUUGGUUGUUUGAAUGAAUGGAAAUUGGUAUAUUGGAGGAUUGUGUAAUUUGUUUAAUUGAAGGUUUAAAAAAGUGAUAGAAUUUUCUUUAUAAGUAAAUUAAGUAAUAUGUU